RNAcentral lists this ribosomal RNA (730 nucleotides) under uncultured bacterium. RNAcentral describes it as "bacterial SSU rRNA". It matches the Rfam family "Bacterial small subunit ribosomal RNA", at positions 1 to 725 of the family's 1533-position model. The record is from RNAcentral.
AAUUCGAUUAGAGUUUGAUCCUGGCUCAGAUUGAACGCUGGCGGCAUGCCUUACACAUGCAAGUCGAACGGUAACAGGUCUUCGGAUGCUGACGAGUGGCGAACGGGUGAGUAAUACAUCGGAACGUGCCCGAUCGUGGGGGAUAACGAAGCGAAAGCUUUGCUAAUACCGCAUACGAUCUACGGAUGAAAGCAGGGGACCGCAAGGCCUUGCGCGAACGGAGCGGCCGAUGGCAGAUUAGGUAGUUGGUGGGAUAAAAGCUUACCAAGCCGACGAUCUGUAGCUGGUCUGAGAGGACGACCAGCCACACUGGGACUGAGACACGGCCCAGACUCCUACGGGAGGCAGCAGUGGGGAAUUUUGGACAAUGGGCGAAAGCCUGAUCCAGCCAUGCCGCGUGCAGGAUGAAGGCCUUCGGGUUGUAAACUGCUUUUGUACGGAACGAAAAGACUCUGGUUAAUACCUGGGGUCCAUGACGGUACCGUAAGAAUAAGCACCGGCUAACUACGUGCCAGCAGCCGCGGUAAUACGUAGGGUGCAAGCGUUAAUCGGAAUUACUGGGCGUAAAGCGUGCGCAGGCGGUUAUAUAAGACAGAUGUGAAAUCCCCGGGCUCAACCUGGGAACUGCAUUUGUGACUGUAUAGCUAGAGUACGGCAGAGAGGGGAUGGAAUUCCGCGUGUAGCAGUGAAAUGCGUAGAUAUGCGGAGGAACACCGAUGGCGAAAGCAAU